CAAAAACACAAACACACGACCUCCUGUAAACAAACCUUAACCAAAUGCUAUUGCUAUCAAUAAAACACCCUUCUUCGCUAACCAGAUAAAACCACCUGUACAUAGUUACUAUGCCUGUCUUAACUCUCUUCUUCUUUCUUUCCUUUCUCAAAAUAUGUCUUACACUUCAAUUCUGCGAGGAUUUCUGUAGUCCUAUUAGCCCGGAGGUUCGAUUCCCUUUCGGGCUUGACGGCGAUGGAUGCGGCUACCCAGGUUUCAAUCUUUCCUGCAAUGAAAGAGGCCAAACAAUCCUUAAUCUCCCUCGCUCCGGCAACUUCAUCGUCCAAUCCAUCGAUUAUCAAAUUCAAGAGAUUCGCAUUACAGACCCUGGAAACUGCUUCGCAGAGCGCCUCCUCCACAAUUUUAGUCUCUCGGGAUCACCUUUCAGUACAGAGCUUAAUCGCGCCUUCUCGUUUCUUAAUUGUUCAUCGAAUUUUUCCAUCUCCGCAUCCUUACCUUCUUCCGCAAGGCGGAUUAAUUGUCUUAGCAAUGAUAACUUCACGGUUGUGGCCAUGCCUACUGGUUUACAUGGAUACUUGCCGCCGAUACCUUCAUGUAUAGUGAUGGAGAACAUGGUCGACGUUCCGGUCUUUUGGCCUCGCUAUCCCGAAGGAGAUUCCUCGUUGAUAUGGACUACACCGGAUUGUGGUGGAUGCGAAUUGAACGGUGGGACUUGUGGGUUCAAAGAUGCUGGGAGUCUUGAUAUUGGAUGCUUUGAUCUACCAAGCAAUGACCGUGGUCUCCCAAGGAGCGCAAAAUAUGGCAUAAUAAUAGGGGUUGGAAUACCAGCACUUAUGUGCAUAAUUGGACUUGGUUGUUACUUAUGUGGCAGAGUGAGGAAUUAUAGGAGGAGCCACCAGUCGAGCUCAGAAGUCACCAUCGCAUUGGCGAACCCACCAAGCAUUUUGAUAGGUGGACUGGACGGACCAACCAUAGAAUCAUACCCUAAAACUUUACUGGGCGAAAGUCGACGAUUGCCUAAGCCUAAUGACAACACUUGCCCGAUAUGUUUAUCCGAGUAUCAACCUAAGGAGACAUUAAGGACUAUACCUGAAUGCAACCAUUAUUUCCAUGCUGAUUGUAUCGAUGAAUGGCUUACAAUGAAUCCGACAUGUCCUCUGUGUCGAAAUUCACCGGAGGUUUCCUCCACAGCUACUACCCCUUCUUUGCCAUCAUCUGCUUCUUCGUCUUCAUUAUCUGCAAGAAGAUAGAUGAACACCAUUGCUGCAGUUUGUUUUAUAUGUGGUAUUCUAAAUUUAUAAUUUGUUCAUGUGAAUAUGAAUUUAAAGUUGGUGAUGAUGUGUCUGAUUGGAUUUUUGGUAUGUUUUUACAUGGAAUUGGAAUACCACUAAAUUUUGAUCAAACACAGGAAAUCAAGUGGCUUUUGCCUUGUUUGUGUGUACUAGUUAUCUUGCUUUGAAGCUGUCAAACAUUU
RNAcentral lists this unclassified non-coding RNA (1474 nucleotides) under Hevea brasiliensis (rubber tree). Lineage: Eukaryota; Viridiplantae; Streptophyta; Magnoliopsida; Malpighiales; Euphorbiaceae. The record is from RNAcentral.